AGAGCGAACGCUGGCGGCAGGCCUAACACAUGCAAGUCGAACGGACUCUUCGGAGUUAGUGGCGGACGGGUGAGUAACACGUGGGAACGUGCCUUUUGGUUCGGAAUAAGCUCGGGAAACUGGGUCUAAUACCGAAUGUGCCCUUACGGGGGAAAGAUUUAUCGCCAUUAGAGCGGCCCGCGUCUGAUUAGCUAGUUGGUGGUGUAAUGGACCACCAAGCGACGAUCAGUAGCUGGUCUGAGAGGAUGACCAGCCACAUUGGGACUGAGACACCGGCCCAAACUCCGUACGGGAGGCAGCAGGUGGGAAUCGUGACGCAAAGUGGGCAAACGCCUAGACGCGAGCCAUCGGCCGCGUUGUAUGAGUGAAGGUCGUUAGGAUUAGUAAAUUACGUUUCACGGUAGAAG
Molecule: ribosomal RNA, 407 nt
Filed under: uncultured soil bacterium
Lineage: Bacteria
Description: bacterial SSU rRNA
Rfam family: Bacterial small subunit ribosomal RNA
Source: RNAcentral